RNAcentral lists this non-coding RNA (125 nucleotides) under Lachnospiraceae bacterium 9_1_43BFAA. Its description in RNAcentral is "azaaromatic riboswitch aptamer (yjdF RNA)". It matches the Rfam family "azaaromatic riboswitch aptamer (yjdF RNA)". Lineage: Bacteria; Bacillati; Bacillota; Clostridia; Lachnospirales; Lachnospiraceae. The record is from Rfam by way of RNAcentral. RNAcentral also lists the same sequence under 1 other name.
AAAAGCAAAGAUAAAAACGCAACGCAUGUAGUGAUAUAUGCCAGAGCUGGUAGGUAGCCCAGCCGUCCUGUUUAUCAGGGUAAGUAACCUUCCCCUCCGGGUUGUCCAUUUUUUGCUCAUUUCAA